RNAcentral lists this ribosomal RNA (242 nucleotides) under uncultured bacterium. Its description in RNAcentral is "partial 16S ribosomal RNA". It matches the Rfam family "Bacterial small subunit ribosomal RNA", at positions 99 to 334 of the family's 1533-position model. The record is from RNAcentral.
CGGACGGGUGAGUAACACGUAGGCAACCUGCCCUUUAGCCUGGGAUAACUACCGGAAACGGUAGCUAAUACCGGAUACUUUCGAUGUCCGCAUGGACGACGAACGAAAGACGGAGCAAUCUGUCACUGAAGGAUGGGCCUGCGGCGCAUUAGCUAGUUGGUGGGGUAACGGCUCACCAAGGCGACGAUGCGUAGCCGACCUGAGAGGGUGAUCGGCCACACUGGGACUGAGACACGGCCCAG